GAUGAACGCUGGCGGCGUGCCUAAUACAUGCAAGUCGAGCGAACGGACGAGAAGCUUGCUUCUCUGAUGUUAGCGGCGGACGGGGGAGUAACACGUGGAUAACCUACCUCUAAGACUGGGAUAACUUCGGGAAACCGGAGCUAAUACCGGAUGAUAUUUUGAACCGCAUGGUUCAAAAGUGAAAGACGGUCUUGCUGUCACUUAUAGAUGGAUCCGCGCUGCAUUAGCUAGUUGGUAAGGUAACGGCUUACCAAGGCAACGAUGCAUAGCCGACCUGAGAGGGUGAUCGGCCACACUGGAACUGAGACACGGUCCAGACUCCUACGGGAGGCAGCAGUAGGGAAUCUUCCGCAAAGGGCGAAAGCCUGACGGAGCAACGCCGCGUGAGUGAUGAAGGUCUUCGGAUCGUAAAACUCUGUUAUUAGGGAAGAACAUAUGUGUAAGUAACUGUGCACAUCUUGACGGUACCUAAUCAGAAAGCCACGGCUAACUACGUG
This 497-nucleotide ribosomal RNA is filed under the name uncultured bacterium. RNAcentral's name for it is "partial 16S ribosomal RNA". It matches the Rfam family "Bacterial small subunit ribosomal RNA", at positions 28 to 507 of the family's 1533-position model. The record is from RNAcentral.